RNAcentral lists this ribosomal RNA (433 nucleotides) under uncultured bacterium. Its description in RNAcentral is "partial 16S ribosomal RNA". It matches the Rfam family "Bacterial small subunit ribosomal RNA", at positions 29 to 507 of the family's 1533-position model. The record is from RNAcentral.
AACGAACGCUGGCGGCAUGCCUAACACAUGCCAGUCGAACGAGACCUUCGGGUCGAGUGGCGCACGGGUGCGUAACGCGUGGGAACCUGCCCUUAGGUUCGGAAUAACUCCCCGAAAGGGGUGCUAAUACCGGAUAAUGUCUUCGGACCAAAGAUUUAUCGCCUUUGGAUGGGCCCGCGUUGGAUUAGCUAGUUGGUAGGGUAAAAGCCUACCAAGGCGACGAUCCAUAGCUGGUCUGAGAGGAUGAUCAGCCACACUGGGACUGAGACACGGCCCAGACUCCUACGGGAGGCAGCAGUGGGGAAUAUUGGACAAUGGGCGAAAGCCUGAUCCAGCAAUGCCGCGUGAGUGAUGAAGGCCUUAGGGUUGUAAAGCUCUUUUACCCGGGAUGAUAAUGACAGUACCGGGAGAAUAAGCUCCGGCUAACUCCGUG